RNAcentral lists this ribosomal RNA (340 nucleotides) under uncultured bacterium. RNAcentral describes it as "bacterial SSU rRNA". It matches the Rfam family "Bacterial small subunit ribosomal RNA", at positions 30 to 369 of the family's 1533-position model. The record is from RNAcentral.
AUUGAACGCUGGCGGCAUGCCUUACACAUGCAAGUCGAACGGCAGCACGGGAGCAAUCCUGGUGGCGAGUGGCGAACGGGUGAGUAAUAUAUCGGAACGUGCCCAGUGAUGGGGGGAUAGCCCGGCGAAAGCCGGAUUAAUACCGCAUACGACCUACGGGUGAAAGCAGGGGAUCGCAAGACCUUGCGUCAUUGGAGCGGCCGAUAUCAGAUUAGCUGUUGGUGGGGUAAAAGCCUACCAAGGCGACGAAUCUGUAGCUGGUCUGAGAGGACGACCAGCCACACUGGGACUGAGACACGGCCCAGACUCCUACGGGAGGCAGCAGUGGGGAAUUUUGGAC